Molecule: long non-coding RNA, 386 nt
Organism: Saccostrea echinata
Lineage: Eukaryota; Metazoa; Mollusca; Bivalvia; Ostreida; Ostreidae
Exons: 3
Source: RefSeq, a predicted model, not a curated record
UCACUGGAAGAAUUCACACGAAACUUAUGUACACUGUAGGAUAUCAGUGUUCAAUGAAUGAUGUUCUUCGAGAAUACGACGACUGUUUUGUAGCAGAGAAAGAAAUUCACAGAAAGGUGAAAUUAAUUGUCCACGACAUGAACUUACCCAUACUCUAAGUGAACCUUAUUUGGUUGGAUACUGGAAGAAGGAUUGUAAUGUACCAGAGACAGAAGUUGCUAAUACGCAUAAAGACAGCUUUAUCCACUGUUAUGAGGAGGCGCUGUUGAAAUUCCAUUUCCAAAAAUUUGAAAAGUUGACCAAGGUUGGCCGAAAAGCCUUACAGAUUUAUUUUGAUACGGUAUUCCCAACACAAGACCUUGCCAACAUGUCAUCAAGAAAGAACA